GAGGGGACUGGAAGAUCCGGAGUACCGGUAAAAUGAGCAGAAAUCGGAAGGAACACCAGUGGCGAAACAGACUCCCUGGCGCGCGACUGACGCUAAGAGGCGAAAGCUAGGGGACCGAACAGGAUUAGAGACCCUGGUAGUCAUAGCCUUAACCGAUGGUAUGCUAGGUUUGGGAAGUCAAGUUCCGCGCCGGAGCCAACGCGAUAAGCAUCCCGCCUGGGGAGUACGGUCGCAAGGCUGAAACUCAAACGAAUUGACGGGGACCCGCACAAGCAGCGGAGCAUGUGGUUUAAUUCGAUGAUACGCGAGGAACCUUACCUGGGCUUAAAUGGGGAGUGACAGGGGUAGAAAUACCCUUUUCUUCGGACACUCUUCAAGGUGCUGCAUGGUUGUCGUCAGCUCGUGCCGUGAGGUGUCGGGUUAAGUCCCAUAACGAGCGCAACCCCUGUUGUCAGUUACCAGCACGUAAAGGUGGGGACUCUGGCAAGACUGCCGGUGUAAACCGCGAGGAAGGUGGGGAUGACGUCAAAUCAGCACGGCCCUUACGUCCAGGGCUACACACGUGUUACAAUGGCCAGUACAAAGGGCAGCUACACAGCAAUGUGAUGCUAAUCUCGAAAACUGGUCCCAGUUCGGAUUGGAGUCUGCAACCCGACUUCAUGAAGCUGGAAUCGCUAGUAAUCGCGCAUCAGCCAUGGCGCGGUGAAUACGUUCCCGGGCAUUGUACACACCGCCCGUCAAGCCAUGGAAGCCGGGAGUACCUGAAGUAUGUAACCGCAAGGAGCGUCCUAGGGUAGACUGGUGACUGGGCUAAGUGUA
This 819-nucleotide ribosomal RNA is filed under the name uncultured organism. RNAcentral's name for it is "bacterial SSU rRNA". It matches the Rfam family "Bacterial small subunit ribosomal RNA", at positions 654 to 1490 of the family's 1533-position model. The record is from RNAcentral.